GAUGAACGCUGGCGGCGUGCCUAAUACAUGCAAGUCGAGCGAACAGAUGAGGAGCUUGCUCCUCUGACGUUAGCGGCGGACGGGUGAGUAACACGUGGAUAACCUACCUAUAAGACUGGGAUAACUUCGGGAAACCGGAGCUAAUACCGGAUAAUAUAUUGAACCGCAUGGUUCAAUAGUGAAAGACGGUUUUGCUGUCACUUAUAGAUGGAUCCGCGCCGCAUUAGCUAGUUGGUAAGGUAACGGCUUACCAAGGCAACGAUGCGUAGCCGACCUGAGAGGGUGAUCGGCGACACUGGAGCUGAGACACGGUCCAGACUCCUACGGGAGGCAGCAGUAGGGAAUCUUCCGCAAUGGGCGAAAGCCUGACGGAGCAACGCCGCGUGAGUGAUGAAGGUCUUCGGAUCGUAAAACUCUGUUAUUAGGGAAGAACAAAUGUGUAAGUAACUAUGCACGUCUUGACGGUACCUAAUCAGAAAGCCACGGCUAACUACGUG
Molecule: ribosomal RNA, 497 nt
Filed under: uncultured bacterium
Lineage: Bacteria
Description: partial 16S ribosomal RNA
Rfam family: Bacterial small subunit ribosomal RNA
Source: RNAcentral